CUCCAUCACCCUCUCUUCUUUCUCCCCCAUUUCAGCAGCAUUAGUAUUGGUACUUUAUUUUUUUGUUAUUUUUAAAAUUUUGCACCUAUUUUAUUUGCAAUUUUUUGAAAUGUAUUUGCACUUUAACUCUUAAUAAUAAGGGGUUGUGUAAAUAAUUUCAUGUAAGAAUAUAUGAUGUAAAAUCACUCUAGUAUUAAACUAGCAAAUAUCUCCUACAUUUUACCAGUAUAAUUAUAUAUAAAUUAUAUAUUUUAUACUAAUAUACUUAUUUGUUUUGAAGUUUUGUUAUUUUAUAAAUGAUGGAGAUGUCAAAACAUAAUUACCAUAGUUCUGUUCCCUUCUGUGACUAUUCCUUUUGUUUUUCUUUCAAAUUCCAUUUGAGAACCAUGUUUCCAACCUUUAAAACUGGAAUUUGGUAAAUUAAUAGUUUCACUUAAAAUUGUUUGCAAACUAUUAUGACUAGAGAGAAUUCUAUGAUUUUGGGUUGAGAAAUUAUUAAUGAACAUUGGUACAUAAUUGAUCCUUUUAGUGACACUAUUCAUGUACGAAUUAUAAUUGUGCUUUAACCCAUUAAACAUCUACUGAAAAUGUGCCCUAAGGGCCCUCCAAUUUUGAAAUUGUUCUAACACUCAUUCUGAUAUGCACCCACACUAGCAAUGCAUUUGAAGGAAAUCUUCAACUUGCCUUUAAUCAAGGCGUCAUUGAGCAUGAUAGACAUGAUGAAGUUAAAUCAUUAAUAUUCAUGCACUUUUCUUUAUUAAAGUCUUUUUUCUCUUAUUUGUAUAAUUAUCCAAGUUUUUUGAUGUGUACUUGCUUCUGAUGGUUUCCUUGCUAGAUUUAUUCCAAGCUUGCUCCGGAUUGAGGAUUCAAUUUCAUAACAUACUUUAGUGAAACAUAUAGCUAACUUCAUUGACUAUUCAACAAUGAAGUUAGUCAUGAGAAUGAUGGUGUUGACAAAAGAAACCCUAUUUGAUUUAAAUAUCCAGAUGCAAAGAAGUUGCAAGUGUCGGUGGGCACUAAGAAGAAGAAUUUGAAGUUAGACCAUAGUACAUAGAAAAGGAAUCAAGACCAUUUUUAUCUUAUGUAUCUGUAAUGUUUUUUUUCUACCUAUUGGUUUAAUACAUCACAUUUAUGAAUUAAAAAUAUUGUGUAUUAGAUUGAGGUUUAUUUAGAUUUUUGAACUGCCUGUAUUUUAAACAUUGGCUAUGAUUAAUUUUGAAGGACUCUCAAUUGAGGAUUUGAGACUAUAAUCUAGGGUGCCGGUGGA
Molecule: long non-coding RNA, 1267 nt
Filed under: Lotus japonicus
Lineage: Eukaryota; Viridiplantae; Streptophyta; Magnoliopsida; Fabales; Fabaceae
Description: long non-coding RNA (LJAP_LNC001610)
Source: RNAcentral